UGCAAUCAGUGGAUGCCUUGGCAGUAAAAGCCGAAGAAGGACGUUUCAAGUCUGCGAAAGUUAUCGGGGAGGUGACAAGAACUUAUGAUCCGGUAGUGUCCGAAUGGGGAAACCUAGCCAGAUUUAUCUGGCUGUUACGCGACGUAAGUCGUGUUUCGGGAACUUGGGGAACUGAAAUAUCUAAGUACCCAAAGGAAAAGAAAUCGAAUGAGAGCCCCUUAGUAAGCGACGAGCGAACAGGGGUGAGUCUAAACCGUCAAUUUAUUGACGGUGUUGCAGGGCCAAACAUAACUUAACAUUUCUGCUAGAAGAACAACAUGGAAUAGUUGACCAUAGUGGGUGAGAGUCCCGUAUUCGAAAAUGGGAAUGUUAAAGUUUGGUACCUAAGUAAAUCUGGAGACGGCAAACUCUAGAUCGAAUCCGGGCCGACCACGGUCCAAGACUAAUUACUUUUACUGACCGAUAGUGAACUAGUACCGCGAGGGAAAGGUGAAAAGAAGGGUGAGUAGCCCUAUUAAAAGAUCCUGAAACUGAUUGCUAACAAACAGUCGGAGCCCCGACCUAAUAAGUCGUGGGUGACGGCGUGCCUAUUGAAGAAUGAGCCGGCGAGUUACUCAACACAGCAAGGUUAACCGAUAUGUUCCGGGAAACCGAAGGGAAACCAAGUCUUAACAGGGCGUGUAGUUGUGUUGUGUAGACCCGAAACCAGGUGAGCUAACCAUGAGCAGGGAGAAGGUCAGAGAAAUCUGACUGGAAGCCCGAACCGGUUGAUGUCGCAAAAUCAUCGGAUGACUUGUGGUUAGAGGUAAUAUGCCUAACGAACCUGGAGAUAGCUGGUUCUCCUCGAAACAUGUUUUGGCAUGGCCUCGCAUUUACGGUAUGGGGGGUAGAGUGCUGAAUGAACUUCACGAAUAAAAUCGUGAUUUUCAACCAAACUCCGAAUACCCAUAUCAAUUGUGCGGGAGUCAGUACCCGGGGGCUAAGCUCCGGGGGCGAAAGGGAAACAUCCCAGACCCACAAAUAAGGUCUCUAAAUAUAUAUUAAGUGGUAAAAGACGUGUUAUUUCUCAGACACCUAGGAGGUCGGCUCAGAAGCAGCCAUCCUUGAAAGAAAGCGUAACAGCUCACUAGCCGAGAGAUGCACGACUGAAGACGUAACGAGGCUAAAUAUAUUACCGAAUUUUGGGAACACGUAGCAAUACGGGUUGGUAGAGGAGCGUUCUUGUAGCUUUGAAGGCGAACCGGAAGGUUCUCUGGAGCAGCAAGAAGUGAGAAUGCCGGCAUGAGUAGCGUAAUAAAGUGAGAAUCUUUAUAUCCGAAUGAGCAAGGUUUCCUACGCAACGUUCGUCGACGUAGGGUAAGGCGACCCUUAGGUGAGGCCUAUAUGGCGUAGCCGAUGGAUUACUGGUUGAUAUUCCAGUCCUUGUUUGCAAUCGUUAUUAACUGGGGCGGGACGAAGUUGGAUAGUCCAAGCGGUGUGUUGAAGAUACAUACGCUUAAAUAGUAAGUCAGUCGCUGUUGGCAAAUCCGCAGUGGCGUUUACACGAGCUAUGAAUACGAGUCUGCCGUAAGGUGGGCAAGAUGGAUGACUUCAGUUUCCGAGAAAAGCGUCGCAGUGAGAGUGCAAAUAAUCCGUACCACAAACCGACACAGGUGCUCUGGUCGAGUAGACCAAGGAUAGCGAGAGAACUCUUCUUAAGGAACUCGGCAAAUUAGCUAGGCGUAAGUUCUACGAGAUGCCUUGCCCAGGUUGAAAUCUGGGCUACAACAAAAGAGUAUAAAGCGGCUGUUUAACAAAAACACAGGUCUGUGCAAAAGCGAAAGCUUAGGUAUACAGGCUGAAACCUGCCCAGUGCCGGAAGGUUAAAUGCGUGGGUGACCAUUCGCAAGAAUGAUAGCCUGCAAUUGAAGCCCCGGUGAACGGCAGCAGUAACUAUAACUGUUCUAUGGUAGCGAAAUUCCUUGUCGGGUAAGUUCCGACCUGCACGAAAGGUGAAACGACUUUAUAACUGUCUUGAGAAGAGACUCGGCGAAUUUGAAAUGGCUGUGAAGAUGCGGCCUACUGGCAGCAGGACAAAAAGACCCCGUGGAGCUUUACUACAACUUGGCACUGAAAUGUAUGCUGUAACUGUUUAGCAUAGGAGGGAGCGUUUUCAAUUUAUUGAGGGCGCGACAAUGAAAUACCUCUCUUUGCGACGUACGUUUCUAACCUAAUCCAAAUGCAAACUUUGGAGGGAACACUGUCUGGUGGGUAGUUUAACUGGGGAGGUUGCUUGCUAAAGAGUAACGCAAGCGCACAAAGGUACCCUUUCUCCGGAUGGAAAUCGGAGUGUAAGCGCAUAGGUAUAUGGGUGCUUAACUGUGAGACAUACAAGUCGAUCAGAUACGAAAGUAGGUCUAAGUGAUCCU
Molecule: ribosomal RNA, 2408 nt
Filed under: Pseudomonadales bacterium GWC2_63_15
Lineage: Bacteria; Pseudomonadati; Pseudomonadota; Gammaproteobacteria; Pseudomonadales
Description: bacterial LSU rRNA
Rfam family: Bacterial large subunit ribosomal RNA
Source: RNAcentral